UUCACUUCAGAAAAGGACUGUAGAUGCCCCCCCUCUUUUUCAGCUAAGCAACUUUCUUACACUUCUGACACAGAGUUGAAACUUGGCAUUUUGGAAUUAACUGAGCUGCUUUUCCAUUUCUCCCUCUUCAUCCUCAGAGAUACAAGUCACAAUCCAACACAGACUUACAGCACAUUCCUGUGUCUCUGUACUCAGAAGUAAGUCCCAUGCGUUUACUCCCGGUCAUUCUGCAAAUCACCCACAAAACUGAAAGACAACAAAUCCCUAAAACAGAUAAAAAAAGGGACAGGAGAGUAAAAAAUGAAAGUCCUAAAGAUUGGGUUUUCAGAUAAUUUCAGUGGCAAAAAGUAUGAUUGAAUUGGUUAGUAUUUGCCUGACCAGUUUCAUUAUGAAGUUACCUUCGCUAUUACAUCCAUUACCCUUGAUGAGCCAGCUACAUGGAAAUACUUGUUGCAGAAUUGUAACCGCACAGUGGUUGUAAGACACGCAGUGGAUCCAUGCCAUCUAAUGCUACAGAAAACAUAGGUCAAAUGGACUGUGAGUAUAAGUAUUCCGCUGCCUAGAUGUCAGGCUUCAGGCAAUCAGCUUCCUCCCCGCCAUGGCAGUAGAUAAGCAGAACAAGGAAAGGGAGUCUUCUUACCAGUUAGAAACUUUAAUAAUCACAGUGAGAGAACAAAGAAACCGUCUCCUAGAAAUGGCGGUGCUCCCAGUUAAGAAUUCCACCCCCUUACGUCCCUAUUAAUCCAUGUCACCUCUCUGUCUUAUAACCUGAGCUUGUACCCUUUGUGUUUUGUGUGCUUUCUGUUCUGCCACUUUCUCAGCUCUUCAAGACUGUGGGGAGAGCAGAUGAAUGCUUUCC
Molecule: non-coding RNA, 859 nt
Organism: Podarcis muralis (Common wall lizard)
Lineage: Eukaryota; Metazoa; Chordata; Lepidosauria; Squamata; Lacertidae
Source: RefSeq, a predicted model, not a curated record